This 1758-nucleotide long non-coding RNA is filed under the name Homo sapiens (human). RNAcentral's name for it is "HSALNT0184803". The record is from RNAcentral. Lineage: Eukaryota; Metazoa; Chordata; Mammalia; Primates; Hominidae.
CUUUCUCACCACCCACCUCACCCGGAAAUCCCCUGUCUCGAAAAGGCACUCUGUCACGUGUACACAGGAAAGGGCCCUGACAAGAGGAUGGGACUGCAGUUGUGGCUGCCAGGGCCCCGGCCAGGGUGAAAACAAGGAACAUUCCAGAGAAGAUCACAAGGAUGCGAAUAAAAUCGGAGCUGCACAGGGAUCUUUGGGCUGUAAUAGGAGGGGACACACAGGGGUUAGGGGAGGGUCUAGCCCUUGGCUCCCUCAGCCCAGCCCUCCUGUCACCUUGCCUCUCCCCUUUCCCCCACCUUAUUCUAUCCCACCCGCCACCGUUGGCCAACUCCUCUCCUAAACAGUGGACUCUGCUUUUUCCCCUCCUCUUAUCCCUAAUCCUAGGAGCUUUCUGUCUGGCUUCCCUCCUGGCCCCUCGUGUAUGCAUUCUCUCUAGCGGUGGGGAUUAAGGAGAAAACUCACGUGGCCAGUGGGUAGAGAGAGUCCGGGCAGGCAGCUGCCUGAAGUCAGCCAGAGUCUGCAUGUGCCCAGCUGUCCUGGCCUCCAGCAUCUCUGGAAAAACAGAGACAGAAUGAGUAGCAGCAGGGGACCCCAUAGGGCACAUCUGAAGGCCUGAGAGGUUGGAGUGCAGUGGCACGAUCUCGGCUCAGUGCAACCUCCGCCUCCUGAGUUCAAGUGAUUCUCCUGCCUCAGCCUCCCUAGUAGCUGGGAUUACAGGACAAGGAGAGGGACAAAUUCCUUCUUGGCAUCCUUAUGGCCCUGUGACCUGCUAAUGAAUGCUGACUCUGAGUUGCUACUAGAAUUUGGUUUCCUUGUGGCUUCCCAGGAAUUGGUCUCACUCUGCUCACUCUGUCUCCCAAGCUGGAGUGCAGUGGUACAGUCACGGCUCACUGCAGCCUCCACUUCCUGGACUCAAGUGAUCUUCUCACUUCAGCCUUCUGAGUAGCUGGGACUACAGCCCCCUCUGCAGCUCUUCAUGGGGGUCCACUCAAGUCAGAAGCCACAUUUGGGUGUGAUUCAGAGAGCUGUUUAUGCAAAACCAGCUUUGUCACCAUCAGGCAAGGCACCUGAAUUCCCACCGCAGAGAGUGUUGUGGCCGUGAGGACUUUUCUGUCACCAGCCAUUUCCAGGUAGACCCAGUGUAAUCACAAGCAUCCUUGUAAGUGGCAAAGAGGCAGAGGAGACAGCGCCAGAGAGGCAGCUGCAUGAGAAGGAUCAAGAUGUUGCUGACUUUGAAGUUGGAAGAAGAAGGCCAUGAGCCUCAGUAUGUGGGCGGCUUCUAGAAGCUGGAAGGGGCAAGGAGAUGGAUUUGACCCUUCAGCCUCCAGGGGCAGCUGUACCUGCCAUCACUGAUUGUAGCCUGGUGAGGCCUGUUUUAGACUUCUGACCUGUAGAGCUGUAACAUAAUACAUUUGGGUUGUUUUCAACCACUAAGUUUGUGGUAAUUUGUUGUAGCAGCUGUAGAAAAUGAAUACAUAUGAAUCCUCUGGCAUUUGUUUGAGAUUUGCUCUAUGGCCUAGUAUGUGGUUGUAAAUGUUCCAUCUGUGCCUGAAAAAAUGUAUAUUUCUAAUUCAGUAGUCUCUGCUUUUUUUUUUUAUUUUGUACCCCAUCAAUAAAAUGAUUUUCAGCAUGUAUCCCCAAAUAAACAAUAUUUUAUUUAUUGAUUGAUUGAUAAACAGACAUGUUUAAUGAUAGCUUGCUUUUCACAGAGGUGACUUCGGAGACUUCUAAUCUAUAAUCCAGGAGUAUAUAACCAUG